CCAAACUUGGUCAUUUAGAGGAAGUAAAAGUCGUAACAAGGUUUCCGUAGGUGAACCUGCGGAAGGAUCAUCAUUGAAAUAUAAAAACUUUUUCAAGUCAUUGGGAGGGGGAAGGGAAAUUUCUUUUCUUCUUCUUUUGGCUUGCAAACAACUUUGAUACCCAAAAAGAGCUUCAUCUUCUUCAUCUUCAACUUUUAUUGGCUUAAGCUUUAUUUGCUUAGGCUUAAUUGGUUGGGGUUGUUGGAGGAGGGAAGAAAACAAGGAGGAAGGGUGAUUGGAGGGAAACCUCAGUUCCCUGAAUCCCAAUAACAACAUAUAUGGUUGCCUGAUAAAAAAGAGUUUGGUUUCUGGAAAUGGAGAGAAAAAUGAAACAACUUUCAACAACGGAUCUCUUGGCUCUCACAUCGAUGAAGAACGCAGC
Molecule: unclassified non-coding RNA, 421 nt
Filed under: uncultured fungus
Lineage: Eukaryota; Fungi
Description: partial contains small subunit ribosomal RNA, internal transcribed spacer 1, and 5.8S ribosomal RNA
Rfam family: Eukaryotic small subunit ribosomal RNA (bases 1-73)
Source: RNAcentral